CCCUUAUGUUCUAUUAUUAGCCGUGGCAGCCAUUUUGGUUGAUUGGCCAGGUCACGCCACACAUUUUUUAAACAAGUUACCCCAAUGAUGACUGUGGCCAAGUUUAGUUUAAUUUGGCCCAGUAGUUUCAGAGAAGAAGAUUUUUGUAAAAGAUUACUAAGAUUUACGAAAAAAUGGUUAAGAAUUGACUAUAAAGGGCAAUAACUCCUUCAGGGUUCAACUAACCAUUUUGGUCAUGCUGACUUAUUUGUAAAUCUUACUUUGCUGAACAUUAUUGCUGUUCACAGUUUAUCUCUAUCUAUAAUAAUAUUCAAGAUAAUAACUAAAAACAGCAAAAUUUCCUUAAAAUUACCAAUUCAGGGGCAGCAACUCAACAACAGGUUGUCCGAUUCAUCUGAAAAUUUCAGGACAGAUAGAUCUUGACCUGAUUAACACUUUUAUAGCAGUCAGAUUUGCUCUAAAUGCUUUGGUUUUUGAGGUAUAAGCCAAAAACUGCAUUUUACCCCUAUGUUCUAUUUUUAGCCAUGGCGGCCAUCUUGGUUGGUUGGCCGGGUCACGCCACACAUUUUUUAAAUUAAAUAUUCCAAAGAUGAUUGUGG
Molecule: long non-coding RNA, 599 nt
Filed under: Mytilus galloprovincialis (Mediterranean mussel)
Lineage: Eukaryota; Metazoa; Mollusca; Bivalvia; Mytilida; Mytilidae
Source: RNAcentral